This is a long non-coding RNA of Danaus plexippus (monarch butterfly), 848 nucleotides long. RefSeq lists it as uncharacterized. The transcript has 2 exons. Lineage: Eukaryota; Metazoa; Arthropoda; Insecta; Lepidoptera; Nymphalidae. The record is from RefSeq and is a predicted model, not a curated record.
UUGUUGAUAUUAGUGUUGCGUUAUUUAAUAAACGGGGUUGAGUUACAUAGGACGCGUUAAGUUACGCAUACGUUAAAGCACCCAGACGCAUAGCCACUUAUCGUUUUACUUUAAUAAGCAUUUAUUAUAAUUAUUUCAUGUUCAAUUUAUUAUAGAAAUGAUUUUGUUUUUCUUUUAAAAUUUUUUUUAGUGAUACUUACCAUUACUUUUAUAAAGUAUACCUAACUAUACACAGUUUGAUUUCAAUCAAAACGAUGUAUUGUCAAAAAAUUGAAAUAGUGAUCACAUUUCUCCAGCUUUAUGAUUCCCACUAACACAUAGUGUAGAAUAUUAUGUUGUGAAGCAAAUAAUAAAAUUGACUAUAAUAAUAAAUUUAAAUUAUGCAAAAAUAUUUUGAAGCAAUACAUUACAAACAGUCAGGCAAAUUGUCGGUUCCUCGAAGAAUAAUCUAGGAAUAAAAAAAUUGUUUUCCGAAAUAUAUUUCAUUUAUAAUAAGAUAUUUUAAUUUGCAUAAUUGUUUAUUUCAGUUUUCACAAGAAUAUAGAAGCAAAAACAGCCUGAACCUGAACUUGAAAAAAUGUUAAGCAUUUUUAAACGUUUACGUCUCUGUAAAAUGAUAACGAAACACCUAAAUUGAACUGCAUGCAAUAUCCGCGUAUGAAAUUCUAUGGUGAAAUAAAAAAAAAAAAUAUCUCCGAGAGCGUUGUCGAUGCAUCCGACGCCCGCAUUUUACUUGCAAAUUGCUUAUCCAUCGAUAUCAGGAUUCCGAUGGACCUCAUAUGCAUAAUAGUAUAAAAUAGUUAUGUAUCUACAUUAACAUUACAAUAAAAGUUAUUGAUUUACAAUAA